AAGUCCAUUGGCCUGGAAUUUCUCCCACCUGCAUAGAAGUCAGGCCGGGGACCUCUCUCCAUUUCAAAGUCUCUCUGACCUGCAGAGAAGUUCAUAGACCUGGGAUUUCUCCCCAUCUCAAGGUUGGAAUUCUGCAUGGAACUUCUCCCCAUCUCAAAGUCUCUCCGACCUGCAGAGAAGUUCAUAGACCUGGUAUUUCUCUCCAUCUCAAGGUUAGAAUUCUGCAUGGAACUUCUCUCCAUCUCAAAGUCUUCCCGACCUGCAGCAAAGUCUUUGGAGUUGGAAUCUCUCCCUGUUUCAAAGUCUUUAUGACUCGUGGAGUGGAUGAAACUUUG
This 335-nucleotide long non-coding RNA is filed under the name Populus trichocarpa (black cottonwood). RNAcentral describes it as "long non-coding RNA (PTRI_LNC002034)". Lineage: Eukaryota; Viridiplantae; Streptophyta; Magnoliopsida; Malpighiales; Salicaceae. The record is from RNAcentral.